This 289-nucleotide ribosomal RNA is filed under the name uncultured bacterium. RNAcentral describes it as "partial 16S ribosomal RNA". The record is from RNAcentral.
CUACUGGGGUAUCUAAUCCUGUUUGCUCCCCACGCUUUCGUGCAUGAGCGUCAGAAAUGAGCCAAGAAGCUGCCUUCGCCAUCGGUGUUCCUCUCGAGAUCUACGCAUUUUACCGCUACUCCGAGAAUUCCGCUUCUCUCUCUCACCCUCUAGCUUAUCAGUUUCUACUGCUGAUCCUCAGUUAGGCCGAGGAAUUAAACAAUUGACUUAAUAUGCCGCCUGCGCACCCUUUACGCCCAAUAAUUCCGAAUAACGCUUGCACCUCUCGUAUUACCGCGGCUGCUGGCAC